CCCACAUUGGUACUGAGACACGGACCAAACUCCUACGGGGGGCAGCAGUGAGGAAUAUUGGUCAAUGGGCGUAAGCCUGAACCAGCCAAGUCGCGUGAGGGAUGAAGGUUCUAUGGAUCGUAAACCUCUUUUAUAAGGGAAUAAAGUGCGGGACGUGUCCCGUUUUGUAUGUACCUUAUGAAUAAGGAUCGGCUAACUCCGUGCCAGCAGCCGCGGUAAUACGGAGGAUCCGAGCGUUAUCCGGAUUUAUUGGGUUUAAAGGGUGCGUAGGCGGCCUUUUAAGUCAGCGGUGAAAGUCUGUGGCUCAACCAUAGAAUUGCCGUUGAAACUGGGAGGCUUGAGUAUGUUUGAGGCAGGCGGAAUGCGUGGUGUAGCGGUGAAAUGCUUAGAUAUCACGCAGAACCCCGAUUGCGAAGGCAGCCUGCCAAGCCAUGACUGACGCUGAUGCACGAAAGCGUGGGGAUCAAACAGGAUUAGAUACCCUGGUAGUCCACGCAGUAAACGAUGAUCACUAGCUGUUUGCGAUACAGUGUAA
RNAcentral lists this ribosomal RNA (535 nucleotides) under uncultured bacterium. Its description in RNAcentral is "bacterial SSU rRNA". It matches the Rfam family "Bacterial small subunit ribosomal RNA", at positions 307 to 842 of the family's 1533-position model. The record is from RNAcentral.